This 126-nucleotide small nucleolar RNA is filed under the name Ananas comosus (pineapple). The record is from RNAcentral. Lineage: Eukaryota; Viridiplantae; Streptophyta; Magnoliopsida; Poales; Bromeliaceae.
AUCCCAGGUGAGCUUGUUCUGGGUGUUCAUCUGAUUCAUAGGAGGCCGAAACUAAUGAUGGUAGUUUCGCUGGUAACACCCUCUUUUCCUAUAGGGGGCAUUCCAUUAGUAGCUUUCCAUACAUAA